RNAcentral lists this ribosomal RNA (305 nucleotides) under uncultured bacterium. RNAcentral's name for it is "bacterial SSU rRNA". It matches the Rfam family "Bacterial small subunit ribosomal RNA", at positions 337 to 657 of the family's 1533-position model. The record is from RNAcentral.
ACCUAGGGGGGCAGCAGUGGGGAAUAUUGGGCAAUGGGCGCAAGCCUGACCCAGCAACGCCGCGUGAAGGAAGAAGGCUUUCGGGUUGUAAACUUCUUUUCUCAGGGACGAAGCAAGUGACGGUACCUGAGGAAUAAGCCACGGCUAACUACGUGCCAGCAGCCGCGGUAAUACGUAGGUGGCAAGCGUUAUCCGGAUUUACUGGGUGUAAAGGGCGUGUAGGCGGGGACGCAAGUCAGAUGUGAAAACCACGGGCUCAACCUGUGGCCUGCAUUUGAAACUGUGUUUCUUGAGUACUGGAGAGG